Molecule: transfer RNA, 64 nt
Filed under: Xenoturbella churro
Lineage: Eukaryota; Metazoa; Xenacoelomorpha; Xenoturbellidae
Description: tRNA-Arg
Source: RNAcentral
ACUAAUGUAGUUUAAUAAAAACACUUGAUUUCGACUCAGGAAAACUGAACCACUCAGCAAUAGU